GAUGUUGAACGUGAAGGAUAACGUUGCGUCAGCAACGGCCCGUAGGGCGAGGCGAAGCCGAGUCAUCCUGCACGACCCACCA
RNAcentral lists this small RNA (82 nucleotides) under Salmonella enterica subsp. enterica serovar Muenchen. RNAcentral describes it as "partial RtT sRNA". It matches the Rfam family "RtT RNA", at positions 45 to 130 of the family's 130-position model. From Rfam's summary of the family: This family represents a bacterial cis-regulatory element known as RtT RNA. Lineage: Bacteria; Pseudomonadati; Pseudomonadota; Gammaproteobacteria; Enterobacterales; Enterobacteriaceae. RNAcentral also lists the same sequence under 17 other names. The record is from RNAcentral.